This 325-nucleotide ribosomal RNA is filed under the name uncultured eukaryote. RNAcentral's name for it is "partial 18S ribosomal RNA". It matches the Rfam family "Eukaryotic small subunit ribosomal RNA", at positions 1470 to 1796 of the family's 1831-position model. The record is from RNAcentral.
CCCUUAGACGUCCUGGGCCGCACGCGCGCUACACUGAUGCAUUCAACGAGUUUUACCUUGGCCGAGAGGCCUGGGCAAUCUUUUAAACCUGCAUCGUGAUAGGGAUAGAUUAUUGCAAUUAUUAAUCUUGAACGAGGAAUUCCUAGUAAACGCAAAUCAUCAAUUUGCAUUGAUUACGUCCCUGCCCUUUGUACACACCGCCCGUCGCACCUACCGAUUGAAUGGUCCGGUGAAGCCUCGGGAUUGUGGCCAGUUCACUUUAUUGGGAGUUGGCUGUGAGAACUUGUCUAAACCUUAUCAUUUAGAGGAAGGUGAAGUCGUAACA